CCUACGGGUGGCAGCAGUGAGGAAUAUUGGUCAAUGGGCGCGAGCCUGAACCAGCCAAGUAGCGUGUAGGAUGACUGCCCUACGGGUUGUAAACUUCUUUUAUAAAGGAAUAAAGUGAGGCACGUGUGCCUUUUUGUAUGUACUUUAUGAAUAAGGAUCGGCUAACUCCGUGCCAGCCGCCGCGGUAAUACGGAGGAUCCGAGCGUUAUCCGGAUUUAUUGGGUUUAAAGGGAGCGUAGAUGGGUUGUUAAGUCAGUUGUGAAAGUUUGGGGCUCAACCGUAAAAUUGCAAUUGAUACUGGCAGUCUUGAGUACAGUUGAGGUAGGCGGAAUUCGUGGUGUAGCGGUGAAAUGCGUAGAUAUCACGAAGAACUCCGAUUGCGAAGGCAGCUUACUAGACUGCGACUGACGUUGAGGCUCGAAAGUGUGGGUAGCAAACAGGAUUAGAUACCCGGGUAGUC
Molecule: ribosomal RNA, 460 nt
Filed under: uncultured bacterium
Lineage: Bacteria
Description: partial 16S ribosomal RNA
Rfam family: Bacterial small subunit ribosomal RNA
Source: RNAcentral